This is a long non-coding RNA of Bos indicus x Bos taurus (hybrid cattle), 656 nucleotides long. Lineage: Eukaryota; Metazoa; Chordata; Mammalia; Artiodactyla; Bovidae. The record is from Ensembl.
UGUUAGUAGAGACGACACUUCUGGAUUAGAUGAAAGAAUGAGUCAUCAUUAUGUAAUUUACUACCGGAUACCACUUGGUUUCUUUCUAUCCAAUCUAUCAGGAAAGAGGUUCACAACACAGGUGUUGGCAGCAUAGGCCAAAAUGAGUUUAGCUUUUGACAUCUGUCUCUCUGAGCCAGCCUCUGACAGAAUGUCCGGGAGUCACUCAGCAGAGAGGCCACACAGAGCUGGGUCCUGCCCACUGGUGCUUCUGCAGUUCAAGGAGCUCAGGGUUUUGCAGCGCUGAAGUACACGGAGCAAGGGAGUUUCCCCUCGAGGGCUUCUGUAGCCUUCGAGCAGAAAGAGAGAUCAAGCUGAUACCAGGGUGCAGGGAACGCCUGUCCGGGAUCUCCGGUGAAACGUCAGAGAUGGCCCAGCCUCUGUUGUCAGCGUUAAAGCUGACUCCCACAGAUGACUGCUCCUGGACGAUGCCACUUUCUGGUUUCCUGCCAGGUCUUCUGGAGACAGGCAUGGGUAAGCCAUCUCUGGGUGGGAGAGGAGGGCGUGGGCCACACCGCCAGCCGGGGUGGGGAGGCCUCCUUCCCCAGCUGCAGCUGCCUCCUCCUGCCAGGCACGCUCCGUCCCACUGGGCCCCCUCAUGCAGUCUCAGCUUCUAA